Long non-coding RNA from Mus musculus (house mouse), 429 nucleotides. RefSeq annotates it as predicted gene, 41289. The record is from RefSeq and is marked validated. NCBI's taxonomy places the organism in Eukaryota, Metazoa, Chordata, Mammalia, Rodentia, Muridae. The transcript is spliced from 2 exons.
GAAUUAUGACCAUCAGGGUUCAGACCUCAGCUCGAUUGGAGACCAGCCUGCAAUUCCCCACAAAGCAAGAAACUUGGAACUGAAAUUCUAUUGGAAGAAGUUGAAGAAACUCACAGGGCUACAGGGGGAACCUAUUGAAGAACCCCCUGCAAGUUUUCCCAGAAUCUUAUGAGAUGCCUGAAGAUGACCCAAAGCCACAGGGAGGACCCCAUCUGAAAGACAUAGCUCCCUCCUGUGUCUCUGUGCCCUUGGUACCCGAGAACAGAACACAGAUUCCCUAUGUGGUUCUCCAGCUAAGCACAUCAACUAGAUGAUAACAAAGACAACACAAGGUGAAACCAAACCAAACCAAUGUUUACCAAGUAAACAAAACUGGAAAAAAUGUAAUGAAUUUUAGGAGAUGCUAUAUGUAGUGAUUGUAAUUGAAAU